GGUGAGUAAAGCGUGGGUAAUUUAGCUCCGAAUCGGGGAGAACACCGCGAAAAGUGUGCUAAUACCGGAUAAUAUCUUGUGACCCAGGUCAUCAAGAUCAAAGGUGGCCUCUACGAGUAAGCUCCGUAUGUAGAUGAGCCCGUNUGCCAUCAGCCUGUUGGCAGGGGUAAUAAGCCCACCCCGGCUACGAUCGGCUAGCAUGGUCUGAGAGGACGAUCAGCCACACUGGAACUGAGACACAGCCCAAGACUCCUACGGGAGGCAGCACGUGGGGAAUCUCAGACAGANGGGCGCAAGCCUAGNUCUACCCAUNGCCGCGUGUGUGAUGAAGGUCUUAGGACCGUAAAGCACUUUCGCCAGGGAUAGAUAACGACAGUCCCUAGGACAAGAAACCCCGGCUAACCCCGAGCCAGCAGCCCGCGGAAAUACCGGACGGGGGAGAGCGGG
RNAcentral lists this ribosomal RNA (447 nucleotides) under uncultured bacterium. Its description in RNAcentral is "bacterial SSU rRNA". It matches the Rfam family "Bacterial small subunit ribosomal RNA", at positions 105 to 540 of the family's 1533-position model. The record is from RNAcentral.